GUGGGGAAUCUUAGACAAUGGGGGAAACCCUGAUCUAGCCAUGCCGCGUGAUCGAUGAAGGCCUUAGGGUUGUAAAGAUCUUUCAGGUGGGAAGAUAAUGACUGUACCACCAGAAGAAGCCCCGGCUAACUCCGUGCCAGCAGCCGCGGUAAUACGGAGGGGGCUAGCGUUGUUCGGAAUUACUGGGCGUAAAGCGCACGUAGGCGGAUUGGAAAGUUGGGGGUGAAAUCCCGGGGCUCAACCCCGGAACUGCCUUCAAAACUCCCAGUCUUGAGUUCGAGAGAGGUGAGUGGAAUUCCGAGUGUAGAGGUGGAAUUCGUAGAUAUUCGGAGGAACACCAGUGGCGAAGGCGGCUCACUGGCUCGAUACUGACGCUGAGGUGCGAAAGCGUGGGGAGCAAACAGGAUUAGAUACCCCAGUAGUCC
Molecule: ribosomal RNA, 425 nt
Filed under: uncultured bacterium
Lineage: Bacteria
Description: partial 16S ribosomal RNA
Rfam family: Bacterial small subunit ribosomal RNA
Source: RNAcentral